CCCAAGGGGUCAUGGGGCAAGGCUGGAAAGCCGCCCAUGACAGUCUACGUGUAACAUGUCUUCUCUUUAACAAUCUUAAUUCCCGUUUCUCUUUCUUUCUACCCCAAUAUCCCAAUCUGAAAUUUGCUACGUCCACAGAGAAAAAGUACAACAAUAAUUCAUCAUAAUCAAAGCGUAACACCAAGAAAUGGCGAAAACCAGACUAUGUUGGUGGGUUAUGCUUUCUUCUGCAAAGGCUCUUUCUAUAAUUUGAGAUAGCGACGAUGUAAUAAUUUAUGGAAAUGGUUCCUAUUGAACUUCUGACGGUACGGUCUUUAUGUUAUCAUCUUUAUGCAAAACCUUGAAGAUGUUAGACAUGCUUCAGACAACUAACUAUAUACAUUUAGAAGAUCUUGAGUCUUGACCCGUAGCAUGUAAUAUAAAAUGAUUCUUGUACAUUACAAAUUACACAUUUGAUUGCAUGCUAGUAGAUCAAUGUAGAGCUGUUACUCUUGAAUCAA
Long non-coding RNA from Nicotiana attenuata, 500 nucleotides. RefSeq lists it as uncharacterized. The record is from RefSeq and is a predicted model, not a curated record. Lineage: Eukaryota; Viridiplantae; Streptophyta; Magnoliopsida; Solanales; Solanaceae. The transcript has 2 exons.